This 73-nucleotide transfer RNA is filed under the name Parcubacteria group bacterium. Its description in RNAcentral is "tRNA-His". It matches the Rfam family "tRNA". Rfam says of the family: Transfer RNA (tRNA) molecules are approximately 80 nucleotides in length. Their secondary structure includes four short double-helical elements and three loops (D, anti-codon, and T loops). RNAcentral also lists the same sequence under 1 other name. The record is from RNAcentral.
GGAGGCAUUGGUGUAGUAGUAGCACGACAGGCUGUGGCCCUGUUAGGAGGGGUGCAAAUCCCCUACGCCUCCC